Salmo salar (Atlantic salmon) is the source of this 73-nucleotide non-coding RNA. Lineage: Eukaryota; Metazoa; Chordata; Actinopteri; Salmoniformes; Salmonidae. The record is from Rfam.
CUCCCUGUGGCUCAGUUGGUAGAGCAUGGUGUUUGCAACGCCAGGGUUGUGGGUUCGAUUCCCACGGGGGGGC